GGCCUUUUGAAUUUAAUAUAAGGUCUGACCUGCCCAGUGAUGAUUUUAACGGCCGCGGUAUAUUGACCGUGCAAAGGUAGCAUAAUCAUUAGUCUUUUAAUAGAGGGCUGGAAUGAAAGGUUUCACGAGGAACUGGCUGUCUCAUUUUAUUUGUUUUAAAAUUUAAUUUUUUAGUUAAAAAGCUAAAAUUUUAUUGGUAGACGAGAAGACCCUAUAGAGCUUUACAUAUAAUUAAAUAAAUAUUUUUAUAUUAAUAUUUUUAUUUAUUUUUGUGUUUUGUUGGGGUGACAAAAAUAUAUAACUAACUUUUUUAUUUACUUUACAUUGAUUUAUGAAUAUUAGAUCCAAUCUUAUUGAUUAUUAGACUAAGUUACCUUAGGGAUAACAGCGUAAUCCUCCUCCAGAGUUCAUAUUUACAGGAUGGGCUUGCGACCUCGAUGUUGGAUUAAGAUAAUAAUUGGGUGUAGCCGCUUAAUUGAUAGGUCUGUUCGACCUUUAAAUUCUU
RNAcentral lists this ribosomal RNA (505 nucleotides) under Orthetrum triangulare. Its description in RNAcentral is "partial 16S rRNA". It matches the Rfam family "Bacterial large subunit ribosomal RNA", at positions 1819 to 2597 of the family's 2925-position model. The record is from RNAcentral. Lineage: Eukaryota; Metazoa; Arthropoda; Insecta; Odonata; Libellulidae.